CGUUACACUAGUGUUUAAAAGUUAUGAAAACUGGAGUAGUAAAAAUUAAUAGUUUUAAAAUUCAAAGAAUUUGGCGGUGCCUUAGCCUAGUUAGAGGAACCUGUUUUAUAAACGAUAAUCCACGUAAAAUCUUUCUUGUUUUUAUAAAGUUAGUAUACCUUCAUUAUUAGAUAAUUUAUAGAUAGAAAUUAUUGUAAUAGGGCUGACGCUCCUAAUAUAUUAGAUCACGGUGCUGCUAAUAAACAAGUAAAAAUGGGUUACAAUAAAAUUAAUUUAUCGCGGAGUUAGCUAUGAAUAUUGUUAAUAAAGAUGGAUUUAAUUGUAAUGGAAUAUUUAAUAAGGUUUUAUGAGAUAAGCACUAAGGUGUGUACAUAU
RNAcentral lists this ribosomal RNA (375 nucleotides) under Sagmariasus verreauxi (green rock lobster). RNAcentral describes it as "partial 12S ribosomal RNA". Lineage: Eukaryota; Metazoa; Arthropoda; Malacostraca; Decapoda; Palinuridae. The record is from RNAcentral.